AAUCAUUCAAACAAAGACAAAAAAAACAACUAACAUGAAUUAUUUCAAGGCUCGUCUGAUCGCCCUCUUCCUCCUACUCUCAUUUGCCCUCGUUACCUCGGCUCGGAUCAUGCCCCACUCAGAAAACCAAGAAGCAGCAUAUAUGAUAAAUGAUUACCCUGAUCCGGGAGCUAAUCCAAGACAUGAUCCAUUCCCACCCCCACCACAGCAGUUCGAGAUUAGCGUUGUCAAGGACCACGACAUCAAGAAAAAUCCCUAAAGAGAAUUUUGCUUGUCAGAGGAGGAGAAAGCAUCACAACGAAGCUUAAAAAGAGAAAUAAUGAUGUGCAUGAACCAAUAAUAGUACUAUAUCUAAAUAUGUUAUCGAUAAUUUAUAUAAUAAUUCCCAUUAUGUGCUUUGAACAAUGUUGUAAUAUAAUUAUCAAAUUAAUGUAAUAAAUGCUGGAAAUAUAGUAUGGUAAUGAACAAUAAAUAUAUAUAAGGUUGUAUUAAAACGAAAUUAAAAUUAAAAUUUUGCGAUAAGAAUUUACU
Molecule: long non-coding RNA, 531 nt
Organism: Cucumis melo (muskmelon)
Lineage: Eukaryota; Viridiplantae; Streptophyta; Magnoliopsida; Cucurbitales; Cucurbitaceae
Exons: 2
Source: RefSeq, a predicted model, not a curated record